Molecule: ribosomal RNA, 253 nt
Filed under: uncultured bacterium
Lineage: Bacteria
Description: partial 16S ribosomal RNA
Rfam family: Bacterial small subunit ribosomal RNA
Source: RNAcentral
GACGGAGGGUGCAAGCGUUGUUCGGAUUGACUGGGCGUAAAGGGCGUGUAGGCGGUCGGUCAAGUCUGGUGUGAAAGCCCGGGGCUCAGCUCCGGAAGUGCAUCGGAAACUAGCUGGCUGGAGCGCGAUAGAGGAGGGCGGAAUUCCUGGUGUAGCGGUGAAAUGCGUAGAUAUCAGGAGGAACACCGGUGGUGUAAACGGCUUUCUGGACCAUUUCUGACGCUGAGGCACGAAAGCGUGGGUAGCAAACAGG